UGGGGAAUAUUGCACAAUGGGCGCAAGCCUGAUGCAGCCAUGCCGCGUGUGUGGAGAAGGCCUUCGGGUUGUAAAGCACUUUCAGCGAGGAGGAAGGGUGGUGUGUUAAUAGCACAUUGCAUUGACGUUACUCGCAGAAGAAGCACCGGCUAACUCCGUGCCAGCAGCCGCGGUAAUACGGAGGGUGCAAGCGUUAAUCGGAAUUACUGGGCGUAAAGCGCACGCAGGCGGUUUGUUAAGUCAGAUGUGAAAUCCCCGCGCUUAACGUGGGAACUGCAUUUGAAACUGGCAAGCUAGAGUCUUGUAGAGGGGGGUAGAAUUCCAGGUGUAGCGGUGAAAUGCGUAGAGAUCUGGAGGAAUACCGGUGGCGAAGGCGGCCCCCUGGACAAAGACUGACGCUCAGGUGCGAAAGCGUGGGGAGCAAACA
RNAcentral lists this ribosomal RNA (427 nucleotides) under uncultured bacterium. RNAcentral describes it as "partial 16S ribosomal RNA". It matches the Rfam family "Bacterial small subunit ribosomal RNA", at positions 355 to 774 of the family's 1533-position model. The record is from RNAcentral.